This 870-nucleotide ribosomal RNA is filed under the name uncultured organism. Its description in RNAcentral is "bacterial SSU rRNA". It matches the Rfam family "Bacterial small subunit ribosomal RNA", at positions 566 to 1437 of the family's 1533-position model. The record is from RNAcentral.
GGUGCGCAGGCUGUAAAGCAAGUCAGUGGUGAAAGCCCUGGGCUUAACUCAGGGAUUGCCAAUUGAAACUGUUNUACUAGAGUGUAGUAGAGGACGGCGGAAUGAGUUGUGUAGCGGUGAAAUGCAUAGAUAUAACUCAGAACACCUAUUGCGUAGGCAGCNGUCUAUACUACAACUGACGCUGAGGCACGAAAGCGUGGGGAGCGAACAGGAUUAGAUACCCUGGUAGUCCACGCUGUAAACGAUGAUCACUCGUUGUUGGCUACUUAGUAGUCAGUGACCAAGGGAAACCGAUAAGUGAUCCACCUGGGGAGUACGUCGGCAACGAUGAAACUCAAAGGAAUUGACGGGGGCCCGCACAAGCGGAGGAACAUGUGGUUUAAUUCGAUGAUACGCGAGGAACCUUACCUGGGCUUAAAUGCUGGCUGCAUUGGAGGGAAACCUUCAUGUCCUACGGGACCGCCAGCAAGGUGCUGCAUGGUUGUCGUCAGCUCGUGCCGUGAGGUGUCGGGUUAAGUCCCAUAACGAGCGCAACCCCUAUCGCUAGUUGCCAGCAUGUAAUGGUGGGGACUCUAGCGAGACUGCCGGUGUAAACCGGAGGAAGGUGGGGAUGACGUCAAAUCAGCACGGCCCUUACGUCCAGGGCUACACACGUGUUACAAUGGCCGGUACAAAGAGCAGCCACCUGGCGACAGGGCGCUAAUCUCUAAAACCGGUCUCAGUUCGGAUCGAAGUCUGCAAUUCGACUUCGUGAAGGUGGAUUCGCUAGUGAUCGCGCAUCAGCCAUGGCGCGGUGAUAAGUUCCCGGGCCUUGUACACACCGCCCGUCAAGCCAUGGAAGUCGGNGGGUACACUGAAGUCCGUAACCGA